RNAcentral lists this long non-coding RNA (563 nucleotides) under Mustela putorius furo (domestic ferret). RNAcentral describes it as "lncRNA (ENSMPUG00000025292.1)". Lineage: Eukaryota; Metazoa; Chordata; Mammalia; Carnivora; Mustelidae. The record is from RNAcentral.
UGUGCCGUUAUCACAAUGAAAGAGUUUUAUUUUGUUUGUUUUCUCCUGUCAGGAUCUACAGAGAAACAUCUUGUCAGAAUCAAACAUCAGCUUUUUAAAAAUUGAUUCAGCUUUAGCGUCAGACCCUGUUAAGAAUUUCUUGCAUGUUUUUGGCCUAAAUUUUAGUACCUUACACAUCUGUUAUAAAAACCUGUAACUGAAACUUUGUAAAAUGCUUCCAAAGCAUGUUUAGAUCAUCUAACAAACCAGACAUGCCAAGAGAAUAAUGACUUCUACCUCCAAGUUGAUCAUGUUAGAGAACUUUAAGAAUCAAACAAAUGUAAAUUUAUAAAAGAUACUAACAACUUCCUAUUUUGUGUAUGAACCAAACAUUUUGAAAAGAAAUAGAAUAGUAAGCCAAACAUUGCCAGAGGUGUUCUUAAGACUAUUAAGAAUGAUCGAUGAUGAUGAAGAGAAGCGGAGGCUUUUAAAAGAUCCUUAUUUGGGUAAUAUAUUAGGGGUGAGAUACCUUAAAGCAGAGAAGAUAUACUCCUUCCUCACUCGGCAAAGUAGAGAAGAAAGCU